This is a ribosomal RNA of Ochotona princeps (American pika), 114 nucleotides long. Lineage: Eukaryota; Metazoa; Chordata; Mammalia; Lagomorpha; Ochotonidae. The record is from Ensembl.
GAUGGCCCUGUUACCCUGAAGGCACCUGCUCUUGUCCGAUCUCAGAAGCUAAGCACGCUUGGGCCUGGUUAGUACUUGGAUGGGGGGCACAGUCGGGGCUGGGCAGGGCUGCCU